GAAUUUAAGCAUAUAACUAAGCGGAGGAAAAGAAACUAACAAGGAUUCCCCUAGUAGCGGCGAGCGAAGCGGGAAGAGCCCGGGAUGAAAAUCUCUUCGGAGAGUUGUAGUCUGAGCUCCCUUGGGCGGUCAGUGUGGGUAAAUCGUCUGGGAUGACGUGCCAGGGAGGGUGAGAGCCCCGUCCACCCCACACAGGACCCGCCCGCACGAGGGCGCUUCAACCGAGUCGGGUAGCUUGGGAAUGCUGCUCCAAUUGGUGGUAAAUCUCAUCAAAGGCUAAAUAACGGUGGGAGACCGAUAGCGAACAAGUACCGUGAGGGAAAGAUGGAAAGAACUUUGAAAAGAGAGUGAAAAGCGCUUGAAACCGUCACGGGGGAAGCGGAUUGCGUGAGUGAUGGUGUGCACUGUUCAGCUCAAAGAUUUGGAGUGUAUUCUGUGCAUGCCGGGCGUGUGUGGCUGGGCUGCGUGCGAAUUUGGCACGCGGAUCCUGGUGAGGGCUCCCUGCUUGUCGGGUGAGGACACACGCGAAAUGACGCAAUACGACCCGUCUUGAAACACGGACCAAGGAGUCUAGCACGGCUGCGAGUCGAAGGGUGUGAAAACCCAGAGGGCGCAGUGAAAGCGAAAGAAAGCAAAUUGGGGAGGCGUUGCGGUUUUACCAAAAUGUCCUACCUCGAGCACCUGUGCUGGGACCCGAAAGAUGGUGAACUAUGCCGGAGUAGGGCAAAGCCAGAGGAAACUCUGGUGGAGGCUCGUAGCGAUGCUGACGUGCAAAUCGCUCGUCGAACUUGGGUAUAGGGGCGAAAGACUAAUCGAACCAUCUAGUAGCUGGUUCCCUCCGAAGUUUCUCUCAGGAUAGCGGGCCGACGACAUGUUGUUUUGUGCGGUAAAGCGAAUGAUUAGUGCAUUUGGGGGCCGAAGGCCUCCAGGCGAUUCUCAAACUUUAAAUGCGCAAGGGGGCGGCUGCUUAAUUGAGCCUGCUCUUUGAAAAACGUCGGCCCUGUGGGCCACUUUUGGUAAGCAGAACUGGCGAUAAGGGAUGAACCUUAAGCGCGGUUAAGGCGCCGCAUUGCCCGCUUAUAGACCCCACAAAAGGUGUUGAUUCAUCCAGACAGCAGGACGGUGGCCAUGGAAGUCGGA
RNAcentral lists this ribosomal RNA (1140 nucleotides) under Sheathia involuta. RNAcentral's name for it is "eukaryotic LSU rRNA". It matches the Rfam family "Eukaryotic large subunit ribosomal RNA", at positions 30 to 1265 of the family's 3401-position model. Lineage: Eukaryota; Rhodophyta; Florideophyceae; Batrachospermales; Batrachospermaceae. The record is from RNAcentral.